Molecule: non-coding RNA, 73 nt
Organism: Trichonephila inaurata madagascariensis
Lineage: Eukaryota; Metazoa; Arthropoda; Arachnida; Araneae; Nephilidae
Source: the annotation of a GenBank genome assembly
GUCCCUGUAGUGCAAAGGAUAGCGCGUUGGACAUCUAAUUCAAUGGUCAUGGGUUCGAAUGCCGCCUGGGAUG